RNAcentral lists this ribosomal RNA (255 nucleotides) under uncultured bacterium. RNAcentral describes it as "partial 16S ribosomal RNA". It matches the Rfam family "Bacterial small subunit ribosomal RNA", at positions 524 to 776 of the family's 1533-position model. The record is from RNAcentral.
UACGUAGGAGGCAAGCGUUGUCCGGAAUUACUGGGCGUAAAGCGCGUGUAGGUGGUGGGACAAGUCUGCUGUGAAAGCGCCUGGCUUAACCGGGCGAGGUCGGCGGAAACUGUUCGACUCGAGGACGGUAGAGGGGGGGGUGGAAUUCCCGGUGUAGUGGUGAAAUGCGUAGAGAUCGGGAGGAACACCUGUGGCGAAGGCGGCCCCCUGGGCCGGCCCUGACACUGAGACACGAAGGCGUGGGGAGCGAACGGG